Astatotilapia calliptera (eastern happy) is the source of this 1059-nucleotide long non-coding RNA. The record is from Ensembl. NCBI's taxonomy places the organism in Eukaryota, Metazoa, Chordata, Actinopteri, Cichliformes, Cichlidae.
GUAACAGUGUAUAGACUGGAGCAUGUUCCCAAGCCUCUUGAAGAAGGGUGAACACAGCUCAUAGUGGCAGUGUUGUAGUUUUAGACACCCAAACGAAACUUGCAAAAGCCGCUGAGCUCCUUUAGAAAGCAUUACAUUUUCAUCAGGGCUCACUUUCAGUUUAUCAGCACUGCUGGCUCUCGUUUGGAUGAAAACUGGUUUCCAUGGCCACCAGGUGCAGAUUUUUCCACCACAAAGCCGUAUUUGGCUGUAGCAGGGGAAACUGGAUCUAUCUACUGGCACUUUGUCCCAGUCUCCAGCUUUAGGUAGUGUUCACUUGUCCUCACUGACAGCCUGUUGAACACAGAGGCAUGAAACUAGAGACCCCCACUCCACCCAUUUACAUUCUCUUGUCCUAAGAAAUCGAAGCCGUGGGCUUUUCACUCUCCACAAUCUAUGACUGGUUCAGAGGGACCAUAUAGACUGCUUUAUGUCUUUAGUUAUGAUGUGAUCUUCUUACACUAUUUAGAAGGUACUUUGGAGAUUUCAAUCUGAAAUUAGCUUAUUUUAACUGUCAGAUGUGAGCACUGUUAACACAGGCACCAGCUACCACCCAAUGUGUUUUAAAAAAAAAAAAAAUGAAUGAAUAGACCAUUCAGCAUUUCACGAGGCCCCUCUCAGGAAUGCCAUUGUGCGUUUUGAACCUCAUGUUGCCGUUAUAUCCCUCUUUUUGCGCUCUCCACGUCGUCUUAUCUUCUGAUUGACUCUCAUGAUGUAGAGACUGCUUUUCAAGGCAUCCUUGAAUUCCACUCAUUCACCCGUCCCUCAAGAAUCUGCUGUGUCUGUAGGCACUUCUCUUUUUACCCUGUCACAAAUCUCACGUGGGGGUGUGGGCUGAAGAGAAUCCCUUGGGAGAGGGAGAUUACCAUCAAACCGAGAGAUCUUCUCACAAAAGAGGGAUUUGCCGAGUCCUAUAGCUCGAUCCUUUACUUUCCUAUGUGUUUGCCGGAAGUAGGACUUUGAGCAAGGUAUGAGAUUUGAUGACCUAUCCUUACUGUACCUGCCAGAAACCAAGAGGUG